RNAcentral lists this ribosomal RNA (253 nucleotides) under uncultured bacterium. Its description in RNAcentral is "partial 16S ribosomal RNA". It matches the Rfam family "Bacterial small subunit ribosomal RNA", at positions 524 to 776 of the family's 1533-position model. The record is from RNAcentral.
UACAGAGGUCUCGAGCGUUGUUCGGAUUCAUUGGGCGUAAAGGGUGCGUAGGUGGCGCUGUAAGUCGGGUGUGAAAUCCUGAGGCUUAACCUCGGAACUGCAUUCGAUACUGCGGCGCUUGAGGACUGGAGAGGAGACUGGAAUUCAUGGUGUAGCAGUGAAAUGCGUAGAUAUCUGGAGGAACACCGGUGGCGAAGGCGGCAUCCUGGACCGAGAUUGACGCUGAGGCGCGAAAGCCAGGGGAGCAAACGGG